GCCUACCAUGGUGGUAACGGGUAACGGGGUGUUAGGGCACGACACCGGAGAGGGAGCCUGAGAAACGGCUACCACAUCCAAGGAGGCAGCAGGCGCGCAAAUUACCCAAUCCCGACACGGGGAGGUAGUGUCAAUAAAUAACAAUACAGGGCUCUUAUGGGUCUUGUAAUUGGAAUGAGUACAAUUUAAAUCCCUUAACGAGGAACAAUUGGAGGGCAAGUCUGGUGCCAGCAGCCGCGGUAAUUCCAGCUCCAAUAGCGUAUAUUAAAGUUGUUGCAGUUAAAAAGCUCGUAGUUGAACUUCGGGGUCUACCCAUUGGUCAGGCUUAAUUGUCUGCACUGGUGAGAUGGAUCUCUACCUUCUGAGGAACUUUCAUGCCAUUUAUUUGGUGUGAUGGGAAAUCAGGACUGUUACUUUGAAAAAAUUAGAGUGUUUAAAGCAGACUAUCGUCUGAAUACAUUAGCAUGGAAUAAUGAAAUAGGACGGACUGAUUCUAUUUCGUUGGUUUCUAGGAUCACCGUAAUGAUUAAUAGGGAUAGUUGGGGGCAUUAGUAUUCAAUUGUCAGAGGUGAAAUUCUUGGAUUUAUUGAAGACUAGCUACUGCGAAAGCAUUUGCCAAGGAUGUUUUCAUUAAUCAAGAACGAAAGUUAGGGGAUCGAAGACGAUCAGAUACCGUCGUAGUCUUAACCAUAAACUAUGCCGACUAGGGAUCGGACGAAGUUAUUUUUAUAAUGACGCGUUCGGCACCUUACG
RNAcentral lists this ribosomal RNA (753 nucleotides) under uncultured Diversispora. Its description in RNAcentral is "SSU rRNA". It matches the Rfam family "Eukaryotic small subunit ribosomal RNA", at positions 339 to 1092 of the family's 1831-position model. Lineage: Eukaryota; Fungi; Glomeromycota; Glomeromycetes; Diversisporales; Diversisporaceae. The record is from RNAcentral.